AUUGAACGCUGGCGGCAUGCCUUACACAUGCAAGUCGAACGGUAACAGGUCUUCGGAUGCUGACGAGUGGCGAACGGGUGAGUAAUACAUCGGAACGUGCCCGAUCGUGGGGGAUAACGGAGCGAAAGCUUUGCUAAUAACGCAUACGAUCUACGGAUGAAAGCAGGGGACCGCAAGGCCUUGCGCGGACGGAGCGGCCGAUGGCAGGUUAGGUAGUUGGUGGGAUAAAAGCUUACCAAGCCGACGAUCUGUAGCUGGUCUGAGAGGACGACCAGCCACACUGGGACUGAGACACGGCCCAGACUCCUACGGGAGGCAGCAGUGGGGAAUUUUGGACAAUGGGCGAAAGCCUGAUCCAGCCAUGCCGCGUGCAGGAUGAAGGCCUUCGGGUUGUAAACUGCUUUUGUACGGAACGAAAAGACUCUUUCUAAUAAAGAGGGUCCAUGACGGUACCGUAAGAAUAAGCACCGGCUAACUACGUG
This 482-nucleotide ribosomal RNA is filed under the name uncultured bacterium. RNAcentral's name for it is "partial 16S ribosomal RNA". It matches the Rfam family "Bacterial small subunit ribosomal RNA", at positions 30 to 507 of the family's 1533-position model. The record is from RNAcentral.